Cynocephalus volans (Philippine flying lemur) is the source of this 489-nucleotide non-coding RNA. Lineage: Eukaryota; Metazoa; Chordata; Mammalia; Dermoptera; Cynocephalidae. The record is from the annotation of a RefSeq genome assembly.
AUGGACAUCAGGCUCCUCUGCUGUGUGGCCGUCAGUCUGCUGGCGGGGAGGGCAGAUCACACAGGUGCUGGAGUCCUCCAGUCCCCCAGGCACAGGGUCACAGAGAGGGGACAGAAUGUAGCUCUCAGGUGUGAUCCAAUUUCUGGUCACACUGCCCUUUAUUGGUACCGACAGACCCCAGGGCAUGGCCCAGAGUUUUUGAUUUACUUCCAAGGCAAGGACACAGCAGACAAAUCGGGAAUGCCUGGUGACCGGUUCUCUGCUGAGAGGUCUGAAGGCUCGUUCUCCACUCUGAAGAUCCAGCCCGCAGAGCAGGGGGACUCGGCUGUGUAUCUCUGUGCCAGCAGCUCAGCCACAGUGUGGCACAAUCCCCUCCUCCCUGCCCACAAACCCUCAUGUGCUCAGCUGUCCUCCCAGUGCUCAGAAGCCCUGCUCUUCCCUCAUCAAGGGGGACAAAUGUACUUGAGACAUCAGGUGUUCUUCUGCUAG